GUGAACCUGCGGUAAGGAUCAUUAAUGGCUAUGAUUCUAGUCUUUGCUCU
Molecule: ribosomal RNA, 50 nt
Filed under: Apophysomyces variabilis
Lineage: Eukaryota; Fungi; Mucoromycota; Mucoromycetes; Mucorales; Mucoraceae
Description: partial 18S ribosomal RNA
Source: RNAcentral